RNAcentral lists this long non-coding RNA (1458 nucleotides) under Brassica rapa (field mustard). RNAcentral's name for it is "long non-coding RNA (BRAP_LNC001829)". Lineage: Eukaryota; Viridiplantae; Streptophyta; Magnoliopsida; Brassicales; Brassicaceae. The record is from RNAcentral.
UUUGGUUACAAUUAAGCUUUAUAUUCAGCAAACUAUAUGACCAAAAAAUGAUAAUAUACAAUAAAUUUUCUGAUGCUCACAGGAGAUCCUAGCCCGGAUACUGGAGAAUGUUCACUCCCCCCUGCCCCUCUUCUCUCUACUUGACAAAUUCCAAGCUUCACUGAUCUAAAAGUAACAUCAUGAAUAUAUUAAUGUACACAUCGUUGGUUAAUUCAUAUGCUUAGUAGUCUUAUUUUACAGAGGGGCAAAUGGCAAUAUACUUAAAUAAAUGUUUUAUACACUCAAAACUGAAAGUAAAUACGCGUUAAAUACAUAGUAACAUUACAUUAAAAUAGAAUAUAUCUGCAACUGUAAUGCAAUAAUGAUUUGUAACAUUAAAAAUAUUUUCAUCGAAUGUUGGUGCUCUUUCCACUUCUUCUUCGACUACAAAUUUCUCCACUUAACGCAUGUACAGAUGAGUUAUACGUGCUGCACUUGAGAAUUAUCAGUUUACUGAAUAAGAAGAAGAAUAUAAUACUCAAAUUUUCACGAUAUCAGUACUUCAGGCUCACCGUCACGAACCAAAAACUAAUGAAACAGAAUCAGGAAAAUAAAUACGAAACAAUAAAAAUUGAGUAGACUGCAAUACAAAAACAGGGAGAGAGUACAAAAUCAGAGACGACAUAAGUUGGAAUCAAUAAAUGAUCUGAGAAGAGAGAAAAGGAAAGCGACAAACGGAUUCGUCGGCCAAAAAAUAAGACGCAGUUGACUCUAGCUCCUCCCACCCAUUACUAACCAUUCAAAAAGAGAUCCGAUCACAGAGACACUCAGAUACUGCAGAGACAAAUACGUAUACCAUAAAAGGAGGAAGAUAAACAAAAUUAAAGAGGCAUAAAUUAAUCAGACAUAAGACGAGCAAUAUAUGGAAAACUAAACUUUCUGAAUUGAGGAUAGAUUCAAGCAAACAAAUGGUUUACAAACGAUUAUGUUGAAAACGAUUCUGAGAUUCUGGGUGCAAAGAUCGAUGGAUUAAGAAAAGAUGUAUCGAAGAAGAAGGAUUCAGCGCAUUUUUGAAUUGAGUGUUCACACCAAGUUUGGAGGAAACAGAGAGAAGAAAACCCCAGAGAAGAAGAAGAAGCAAAAGAGAGCCUUUGAUGAAUAAAUUACAAAAAAGAUUACAACCCUGUACCGUCGAUUUAUUUAAUAAUUGUGAAAAGAGACAACUCUUGAACAAGAUGACGGUUCUGCAAUUCGUGAAAGCGGUGCCUUCGAGGAGCCAUGACUUGGUGAAUUGAAGACGACGAUUGAAUCGUUGACGACUUUUGAAUCGUUGACGUCAUGGACUUUAUCUUAAACAAAAUAUCAGCCAUUAGAUUAUACACUCCAAACAAAUUCCACCAUCGGAUGUCAAUUUUUUUUCCUAUAAAAAAAUGAUGACAUCAGCGGUUAGAAAAAACAGGUUUGCUAUUAUAUAUAGAU